UUCGGUGCCCGAGUUGUAAUUUGGAGAGGGCAACUUUGGGGCCGUUCCUUGUCUAUGUUCCUUGGAACAGGACGUCAUAGAGGGUGAGAAUCCCGUGUGGCGAGGAGUGCGGUUCUUUGUAAAGUGCCUUCGAAGAGUCGAGUUGUUUGGGAAUGCAGCUCUAAGUGGGUGGUAAAUUCCAUCUAAAGCUAAAUAUUGGCGAGAGACCGAUAGCGAACAAGUACAGUGAUGGAAAGAUGAAAAGAACUUUGAAAAGAGAGUGAAAAAGUACGUGAAAUUGUUGAAAGGGAAGGGCAUUUGAUCAGACAUGGUGUUUUGUGCCCUCUGCUCCUUGUGGGUAGGGGAAUCUCGCAUUUCACUGGGCCAGCAUCAG
RNAcentral lists this ribosomal RNA (373 nucleotides) under Saccharomyces cerevisiae (brewer's yeast). RNAcentral's name for it is "LSU rRNA". It matches the Rfam family "Eukaryotic large subunit ribosomal RNA", at positions 130 to 500 of the family's 3401-position model. Lineage: Eukaryota; Fungi; Ascomycota; Saccharomycetes; Saccharomycetales; Saccharomycetaceae. The record is from RNAcentral.